GGGCCUUUUGUUCAGCCCUGACAAUAGAAUUGGGUGGAGGGGGCUGGGAAGGCAAGUAGCUGGGUUAGAGAUGCAUCCGUGGGGUGGGGGUAUGGGGAAGCUUGUGUUCAGCCACUGGGUACAUGAAAGCAACUGUGUGUGUGUGUGUGUGUGUGUGUGUGUGUGUGUGUGUGUGUGUGUGUGUGUCGGGGGAGGGUAUAAGGGAGCCCAGGGACACUGGGGCACCAGCUCGUUAACACGUGUGUAUGAAUGCCGGCUGUGCGCUUGGCAAAUCCUUAAUUACACAGGGAGAACUUCCUGAACCGGGAACUCAGUAUCGGUCCCUGAAAGGUUGGGUAAUGGCUUCUUCUUGCAUCUGGAAUCCAAGGGGACCAAUCUCUCUGGCUCCCCUGGGCUCUCAGAUUCUUCUAGAUGUCUUUGUCUUCUAAAAUUCUGGGAUCCCAAGGGAAGACACAUAGUUAAGGACACUCAGAAAUGCAUACCUUUCAACCCUACUAAUCAUCCUAAAACCUGUGCUUUCAACAUAUCACGUCCUUGAUCUGUAACCCUCAGGGGCACCCACGAUCUCCAAUGACUGGGAGUGAUGGCAUUUAAGUCUUUCCACCAUGCAGAAGUUUCUUCCCUCAUUCCCCAUGAAUUCUCUCCUGUAGCCAGCCUGGCCCCUCAUAACCCCUUGGAUAUACUGUAUCUUGAAUUCUCCAGCCUUUCUGCAGUUGCCUUCCUGGGACAUUCAUUCCCAUGUUCACAAUCUAGCCAAUUGUAUCCCUUCUCUAUUCAGUUCUAGCAUCAGUCAGUCAAUCAACAAGCAUUUAUUGAAAGUCCACUAUGUACAAGACAUGUUCUAGGCCCUGGUAAUACAUCAGAGACUGAGACAAAUACCUGUUCUUAAGGAUUUUAUAUUUUAAUGGGAGAAACAGAGUAGACUCAUGGCUCACGCCUAUAAUCCCAGGACUUUGGGAGGCCAAGGCAAGAGGAUCACUUGAGGCCAGGAGCUCAAAACCAGCCUGGGCAGCAAGUGUCUUCUUUUGCCUCUGCAAAAGAAAAUUAAAAAUAACAAAAAAAGGAAGCUAAACUAGAGUAUUGUGGUAGAGGGGUGUGUGUGUGUGCAUGUGGGUGCAUCCGUGUGUGUGGUAGGUUGAUGGGUGCUGUUUUAUUUAGCCAGGGAAGGUCUCUUUGAGGAGGUGGCAUUCGAGACCUUCUGGGUGGGAAGGAGGCAGCCAUGUGGUGAUCUGGGGAAGAGUGCUGCAAGCAGAAAGGCAAGUAAAAACAAAAGCCCUGAGGCAGAAAUGUGCUCCUUAUGCUUAAGAAACACCGUGAAGGCCAACGUGGUUGGAGCAAUGUGAGCAAGAAGAAUAGAGGGGCCUUGGGAACAUAGGUAGCUGAGUCCUCAUGGAUCAAGGGAGAGGAACAAUUAUUACUUGCUGAGAGGAGCUAAGCUGAUCUGCAUGAUGAAGGAAUGGAAUGGGCUAAGGAAGACGUCCAGACAGGGAAAAGCCUUAUGGAAGGGAAUUCAACAGAGUUUUCAGAGAUUAGCACAUUUGAGGCUCUCUAAAUAAUCAGAUGUGGAGGAAGGGGCUUCUGAGAUGAGCUAACACGACUAUGACCCAGAGUCUUUUAAUGUUCUUCCAAAUACGUGAUCAAAUAAUGGAAUUUAUUCUGUAUUAAUUUUGAGCACUAAACUGUGCAUUAAGUCUAUAGAGGGAUUGGACCCUAUGGUCUCCCCUCUGAUUUACAAGAAUUAUGUUUUUAAAAGAUGGGGUCAUACUAUAUUUACUUUUACUUAUAAAACAUUUUAAAAUUUUAAUUUUAAAUUAAUUAAUUUAUUUUUGACACAGAGUCUCGCUCUGUUGCCCAGGCUGGAGUACAGUGGCUCGAUCUGAGCUCACUGCAACCUCCGCCUCCUGGGUUCAAGUGAUUCUCCUGCCUCAGCCUCCCAAGUAGCUGGGACUACAGGCCCAUGCCACCAUGCCCAGCUAAUUUUUCUAUUUUUAGUAGAGACAGGGUUUCACCAUGUUGGUCAAGCUGGUCUCGAACUCCUGACCUCAUGUGAUCCACCCACUUUGGCCUCCCAAAGUGCUGGGAUUACAGGCGUGAGCCACCCCCCGGCCUUUCAAAAAAAUUUUUAAUUCACCACUAUACUAAUGAGGAUAUAUUUGGUACUUACAUGAUCUUUUUUUUUAAAAAAAAAAACAAUUAAAUCUUAUGGUCAAUAAAUGCAGAAAUGAAUUAUCCUUUGAAACAGCUGCAUGGUUGGCCUUCAUUUGUCUUCAUCAUAAUUUAUUUAACCCCCACUUACCGAUUUUUGUCAUUGUUGUUGUUUGUUUGUUUUAAAUAGAGUCUCACUCUGUUUCCUAGGCUAGAGUGGAGUGGUGUAGCCUCAAACCCCUGGACUCAAACAGUCCUCCCACCUCAGCCUCCUAAAUAGCUGUGACUACAGAUGCACACCACCAUAUCUUGCUUUUUUUUUUUUUUUUUUUUUUUUUUUUUGGAGAUGGAGUCUCGCUGUGUCACCCAGGCUGGAGUGCAAUGGCGUGAUCUCAGCUUACUGCAACCUCCAUCUUUCAGGUUCAAGAAAUUCUCCCGCCUCAGCCUCCAGAAUAGCUGGGAUUACAGGUGCAUGCCACCAUGUCCAGCUAAUUUUUGUAUUUUUAGUAGAGAGUGUUUCACCAUGUUGGCCAGGCUGGUCUCGAACUCCUGACCUCAGGUGAUCCAUCUGCCUCGGCCUCGCAAAGUGCUGGGAUUACAGGCAUGAGCCACCAUGGCCGGCCACAUCUGGCUUUUUAAAAAAUUUUGUGGAGAUGGUGUUUCACUAUGUUGUCCAGUCUGGCCGCAAACUCCUAGCUCAAACAAUCCUCCCAUUUCAGCCUUCCAAAGUUUUGGGAUUAUAGGUGUGAGCCACUGCACCUGGCCAACCCCUCCCCUGUUGAUGCCCACUUAUGUUGUUUCGAAGUUAAUAAAUGGUUACCUAAGGUCAUCCUUAUGUUCGUACAUCUUUGCAUCUUGCUGAAUUUUUCUUUAGAACAUAUUCCUAAAAGCAUCCAUGCAGAGUUAAAGGAUAAUAAGAACAUCAGAAUUCAGUGCAGUGCCAAGUUGCUCUCUGGAAAGCAAAAUUAACACAAUGACCUCCAGGGUUGGGUUUCUGCUCCUGAGUGUAGUUGUGCUGCCCAGGGAGGUCCAAGUAGGCAGAGAUGCUUAG
RNAcentral lists this long non-coding RNA (3196 nucleotides) under Homo sapiens (human). RNAcentral's name for it is "HSALNT0032769". The record is from RNAcentral. Lineage: Eukaryota; Metazoa; Chordata; Mammalia; Primates; Hominidae.